GUGUGCGAUCAUACCAGCACUACAGCACCGAAUUCC
Molecule: ribosomal RNA, 36 nt
Filed under: Prospero autumnale (starry hyacinth)
Lineage: Eukaryota; Viridiplantae; Streptophyta; Magnoliopsida; Asparagales; Asparagaceae
Source: RNAcentral